AGGAUAGUAGUUAAAUAUAACAUUUGGGUUGCAUUCAAAAAGUAUUGAUUUAUUCAAUCUAUCUUG
This 66-nucleotide transfer RNA is filed under the name Cosmozosteria sp. B117. RNAcentral's name for it is "tRNA-Ala". The record is from RNAcentral. Lineage: Eukaryota; Metazoa; Arthropoda; Insecta; Blattodea; Blattidae.